Long non-coding RNA from Scomber scombrus (Atlantic mackerel), 2316 nucleotides. RefSeq lists it as uncharacterized. The transcript is spliced from 2 exons. The record is from RefSeq and is a predicted model, not a curated record. NCBI's taxonomy places the organism in Eukaryota, Metazoa, Chordata, Actinopteri, Scombriformes, Scombridae.
ACACACACACACACACACACACACACACACACACACACACACACACACACACACACACACACACACACACACACACACACACACACACACCAACUGUAGUACUUGUGAUAUCUGACAUCCAGCUGACUGCACUCGCUUCAGACUUGAGCUGUAAUUCAGGGAAAACUGACACCGCCGAGGGCAGCUGUUUUUCAAACUGAAACACUUUGUGUGCAUUUAAUCAUCCCAUCAACGAGCGCUUGGUUUACUUUCUCUUCACUUUAUUAUCGUUUCCUUUAAGCACAAGCAACUAAUUGACUCAGAAAACUAAUAAUGAGGUGAUUAUGUUCUGAGUUUUUUUUUUUUUUUUUUUCAGUAAAAUCAGGAAACAGAUUUUAUUGAUGAAACUUGAAGUGAAAGUAAAUUGAUUGCUGCUGUCACGGACCAGCUGGAAAGGCAAUUUUUUUAAAAACUACCUAAACUGCACACUUGUGUCCCAGUGGGCUGAUCGAUCUCCAUCUUCAAAAUCUGAACUGACGAGUGCAGUUUUUCUCUUCUGACAUAUAUAUAUAUAUAGUAGUUCACCUGUCUGCCUCCAUUUAUUCACUCAUUCAGUCUUUUACACUAAAUUUGGAAGAGGUGUUAACCAGGUAACAUCUGUAUACUCAAACUCUGGGCUCAGGUUGCUUCUAGACGAGACCCUGGUACGUCUGUCUGUCCGUCUUGUCUCCCUUUAAUAUUUUGUGAUUCUGAAGAGAACUGCAAGGAGCCUCGAGCCUCUCAGUUGAUUUUUUAUUCUUUCUUUCUUUCUUUUUUUGGGGGUCUGUUUUUAUUUUAGAACUGACAUGUUUUUAUCUGGCCUUCAGCGUCUCAUAGCGGACAUGCCAGUGUUUGGCCCUCUGCAUGGUGUUAAUAGCUACUGCGUUGUAGCAUUAAGCUAGCUAAGAGCUUGUAGAUGCCAGCUGUAGUCAGGUAACCAGAGAGGAUCAUCAUCUUGAACCAUUUUUUCUCUCUUUCACUGCCUUUUUCAUUAAAGCUGCACUAGUCCUGCGUUUUUCCAGGCAUCUUUAGGACCUACAGGCUGUAAGUUUGAUUCUCGCUUCUAGGAGCUCUCAGACUCAUUCACAGUUUUCUGACCUGACUGUAAACAAACACAUUUUUGCUUCAACUUAGAGAUAUUGAUUUUUUUUUUUAACUCAAAUUUCUAAUUUCCAUUCAAAGGAAUUGUUUGACGUUUUGGGAAAAUGCACUUAUUUGCUUUCUUGUGAAGAAUGAAAUAAAAAGAUACCACUCUUUGUUUAGCUUAGUAAAAAAACUGGAAGCACAUGGAAACAGCUAACCUUGCUCUGUUCAUCGGCACCUCUAAAGCUCACUCUUUAACAGGUUUUAUCUUGUGUGUUAAACCGUCAGUUUGUGUUGUUAUGGGGGUUUUGUGUUGUAACUUUUCCUUCCACAAAUUGUUGUUUUCACACUUAAAUUAAAUAUAAUUAAUCAUUGAGAUUUAGAGGUGCUGCUUAGGCAGAUUUUUGAAACUUUGGACAGAGGCAGGCUAGCUGUUUCCCCUCGUUUCCAGUCUUUAUACUAAGCUAAGCGGCUACUAGUUGAGAUGAGUUGGCAUUUUUCCAUCUAAUUCCGAGCAAGAAAGUUUUAAUUUUCCUAAAUAUCAAACUAUUUAUUGAACUGACAAAUGAUUCAGUCUUUAUUAACCCUCUUUUUUUCUUCUUCUCCUGAGUUGGAUAAAUCAGUGUCACUGGACUGCUGAUCAUCUUUUCAGCAAAAGAGAUGUCAGUCAAUUCAAGUGACGGGUUGGCAUUUAUCUGUCAGGUUGUUGAAAUGAUUUCUCCGCAGUAAGAAGCAGAUUUAACGUUUUAGUUCAGUCUAACAGCUGCAUCACUUCUGUCUGAGCUCUUCUGCAUCAAUUCCAUCCACAUUAUUUCUCACCUCAAGCGCCAGUCUCAUACUGUACAGUUUCUCUUCUUCUUCUGUGUUCACAUUACAAAUCGGGCAUGUAUGUUGAAUUAAAUAUUUAAAUAAACUUUGUAUACAUUUUAUAGUGAAUCAGAUGACAAUGGCUGUUUUUUUUUCUUUUCUUCUUUUGAUCAACUUAACAGUCUGUGGUUUGUUAAAGAAAGAUAAGUUGCUGCUGUAGGUUUACAUUAGUUUUCUCCUGUUUGUGAGAAUGUUCAUAGAAACACGGUGUGAAUACUCGGAUUCUGAUAGGAAAAUCUUUGUGUCGAGUGGGUCGGAGACAAAUGUCUUGUCUGCCUUUUAAAGAUAUCUCUGGUAAUUUAUUUUUGAAUAAAAUGUUUACCUUAAGAAUAAAUCAUCCGUACAAUU